AAUAUCCCCAGUUCCCUCCACAGUUCUUAGAGGAAGUGAUAUUUAUACUGAGACAAAAGGAGGGAAGAGGUGGAAGGAGCACGAGGUGGAAAGACAGGCAGGAAUCUAAUCCCAGGAGAAUCGAAGAGCAUGUGCACAAUCUCAGAGCAGGAGACAGCACCAAGGCCACCAAGAAGGCUUUGUAGAGUGUCAGUGCUUCAGGAGGUACCAGCUGGGAAUGGGCAGCAGUCUGAAAGAUUGUCUCGUGGGGUCUGAUCAGCACAGCGGGAGCCAUUCCAACCUUUGGGCAGGAAGUGCUCAGAGCGGGUUUGCAUUGCAGGCAGAUCUCACCAGCUGCGAUAUGAACGAAUGAAGAAGUGAUAUGUGGAGGUGUAGCAGCCAUUCCGUGACCUGGACAUGGUGAGCAUGAAGAUAAAAGCCAAUGCGUAAAAGACAGCCGAGUAAAGAGUAGGACAGGCGCCUUGUCCCUGAUUGCAUCACAAGGCUGCUGCCCAGGCUCUGAAAUUGCAAUUUUCCUCCUUGAAGUACCACACAAGACUCAGCUGGAUUUCAAGGCUUUCUUCUUUCUCUUCUCAAGUCGAUGUAAACAAGAACAGAAUGACACAUUCACAGCCAGCUUCGCAUCUUGUCAUCUAGGUGGCCCAGGCACAGGAAAUCCAGGCCCCCAGUCUGCCUUCAUGUAGGGCUUAUUCAAAAUGGAAUGUGCUCAUGUCACCCCAGGAUUGAAACUUCUCCUGAUUCAGGGUGGCUCCCUGCCAAUGAGCAACGAGUGUACCUCAUGACGUGGCGGGAAUAGCCGGAAGUCCGCGGCUGCAGCUGGGGACAAAUAAAUGAGCCCCAGAUCCCUCGUGCUCUGGUAUCUUCCUGUCACCCUCCCUUCCUCUCUUAGGGACAGGCACUUUAUUCUGAAGUGAUCAAUCACAAUGAGUUGACCUUUGUAUUUAUGCUAGACUGUUCGCAUUAAGGGAUGUGCAUGUCCUCCCAAAGAAACGUUCAGUGUCUCCGUAACUGAUGCAUUUAUGAGACUCAAAUAAAAAAAGUUCUUUAAAGCACAGAAAGUGUCUGGGACGUGGGCCUGGCGAGGCCUCCCGCGGACGUGUUGACCAUGGCGGGCAGAGGUCUCUUGGCACAUCUCCUCCCAUCUCAUGGCGAAAAAUCUGGAGCUAGAUGAAAACCACCAACUCACACAUUCUGAAUCUCUAAAAUGUUUACUUCUAAAAUCGGAGCAUUGCAUAUAUUUAACUCCCUAGGCAUCUUUUCCAUUGAAAUUUAAAGUACAGCUAGAAGAUAAGGUUGUUUAUACUGGACUAUAGAAGCGUUGAUGACAGAAUAAUAACGAAAAAGCACUUCUGCUCUUAAGUUGUCAAAAAAAAACCCCACCCCAUCUUCUGUACAUUUAGUCUAUUUCCACGAGACUUACCUACUAUAGAAAAAAAAAUGAUGUU
This 1445-nucleotide long non-coding RNA is filed under the name Equus caballus (horse). RNAcentral's name for it is "lncRNA (ENSECAG00000056528.1)". The record is from RNAcentral. Lineage: Eukaryota; Metazoa; Chordata; Mammalia; Perissodactyla; Equidae.